Molecule: ribosomal RNA, 374 nt
Filed under: uncultured organism
Description: bacterial SSU rRNA
Rfam family: Bacterial small subunit ribosomal RNA
Source: RNAcentral
CGGGGGGAGCAAGCGUUGUUCGGAUUUACUGGGCGUAAAGGGCGCGUAGGCGGCCACCGCAAGUCGACUGUGAAAUCUCCGGGCUUAACCCGGAAAGGUCAGCCGAUACUGCGGGGCUAGAGUGCAGAAGGGGCAACUGGAAUUCUCGGUGUAGCGGUGAAAUGCGUAGAUAUCGAGAGGAACACCUGCGGCGAAGGCGGGUUGCUGGGCUGACACUGACGCUGAAGUGCGAAAGCUUGGGGAGCGAACGGGAUUAGAUACCCCGGUAGUCCUAGCCUUAAACGAUGAAUGCUUGGUGUCUGGGGUUUUAUAGUCCCCGGGUGCCGUCGCUAACGCUUUAAGCAUUCCGCCUGGGGAGUACGGUCGCAAGACUG